AUAAAAAAUGCCCUGCCGAAAAUUCAGCAGGGACCUUCUAUGUCUAAAUCAGACAGAAGGCAAAGGGAGAGGAGAAACUGGAGAAAGAACUCAUUGGGGAAUAUAAGCCUUCUCCGUGA
Molecule: regulatory RNA element, 119 nt
Organism: Bacillaceae bacterium
Lineage: Bacteria; Bacillati; Bacillota; Bacilli; Caryophanales; Bacillaceae
Rfam family: ylbH leader
About the family: This family is a putative regulatory RNA structure that is found upstream of the ylbH gene in B. subtilis and related low GC Gram-positive bacteria.
Source: Rfam